Small nuclear RNA from Psammomys obesus (fat sand rat), 126 nucleotides. The record is from RefSeq and is a predicted model, not a curated record. Lineage: Eukaryota; Metazoa; Chordata; Mammalia; Rodentia; Muridae.
AAAGAAAAAGAAAGGAGAGAAGGUUAGCACUCUCCUUGACAAAGAUAGAAGAGGCCCUUGGGCUUAACAAGACGCAUACAGUUAAGGCAUUGUCAUCUACUUUGUGGCAUCUAACCACUGUUUUAG